This 253-nucleotide ribosomal RNA is filed under the name uncultured bacterium. RNAcentral's name for it is "partial 16S ribosomal RNA". It matches the Rfam family "Bacterial small subunit ribosomal RNA", at positions 524 to 776 of the family's 1533-position model. The record is from RNAcentral.
UACAGAGGGGGCAAGCGUUGUUCGGAAUUACUGGGCGUAAAGGGCGCGUAGGUGGCCUUCUAAGUCGAACGUGAAAUCCCUGGGCUCAACCCAGGAACUGCGUCCGAUACUGGAAGGCUUGAAUCCGGGAGAGGGAUGCGGAAUUCCAGGUGUAGCGGUGAAAUGCGUAGAUAUCUGGAGGAACACCGGUGGCGAAGGCGGCAUCCUGGACCGGCAUUGGCGCUGAGGCGCGAAAGCUAGGGGAGCAAACGGG